Long non-coding RNA from Nicotiana tabacum (common tobacco), 522 nucleotides. RefSeq lists it as uncharacterized. NCBI's taxonomy places the organism in Eukaryota, Viridiplantae, Streptophyta, Magnoliopsida, Solanales, Solanaceae. The record is from RefSeq and is a predicted model, not a curated record.
AAAAAGAGACGAACUGCUCUCAUUCUUCGCCAUUAGAUCGACAACUCCAUUAACUUCUCUAAACACGUACAUCAAGGGUGGGGCUCCAAUUCUGGAUAUCAUCCAUCUACAGUCAAUUAUCAAGUGUUUGUGAAGACAAGAGUUGUUAGAGAGCAUAUUGAUCAAUUCCUUACAAUCUAUUUCUAUCACCAGAGGCAGUGGAAGGAAAUGGCUUCGAUAUUGAUAGUAUUAUUGACAAUAAUAUCAUAUGGGAGUUGAUUAUGUGCAUGCUUCAUGAGUGGACCUUGGAUUAAGGAUCUAAGGGGCCCUGCGAUCCAUGCAUCCUACCAGGCAUUGAUUGAACGAUCGUUUCCAAUUUCUCCGCGGACACCUUCUAUACAUAUUUUGGUUCCCUCUACUAUGUUUUUCCAGAUAUGGGAGCCAUUCUUAUCUUGUACUAGUCAAUCUUGUUGAUUAAUGUUUUUGUUAUACUUAUUGUUUAGAACUUUUGUCCAUAGAGAAUUAUUAUCCUUUUUAUACCUC